GUCUUUUAGAAAAUAAUUUAAAGUCUAGCCUGCCCACUGAAUUAUUUUGAAGGGCCGCAGUAUUUUGACUGUGCAAAGGUAGCAUAAUCAUUAGUCUUUUAAUUGAAGGCUUGUAUGAAUGGUUGGAUGAAAUAUUAACUGUCUCAAAUUAAUAAGAUAGAAUUUAAUUUUUAAGUUAAAAAGCUUAAAUAUAAUUAGAGGACGAGAAGACCCUAUAGAGCUUAAUAUUUUUAUUUUUAAUUUUUAUUUAGGUAUAAAGAUAUUUUUAAUAAUAAUAAUAUUUUAUUGGGGUGAUAACUAAAUUUAUAUAACUUUAUUUAAUAUAAACAUUAAUUUAUGAAUAAUUGAUCCAUUAUUAGUGAUUAGAAGAUUAAGUUACCUUAGGGAUAACAGCGUAAUUUUUUUAGAGAGUUCUUAUCGAUAAAAAAGUUUGCGACCUCGAUGUUGAAUUAAAGAUUAAUUUAGGUGCAGUAGUUUAAAUGUUUGGUCUGUUCGACCAUUAAAUC
RNAcentral lists this ribosomal RNA (506 nucleotides) under Neoneuromus sikkimmensis. RNAcentral describes it as "partial 16S ribosomal RNA". It matches the Rfam family "Bacterial large subunit ribosomal RNA", at positions 1825 to 2594 of the family's 2925-position model. The record is from RNAcentral. Lineage: Eukaryota; Metazoa; Arthropoda; Insecta; Megaloptera; Corydalidae.